Molecule: long non-coding RNA, 464 nt
Organism: Perca flavescens (yellow perch)
Lineage: Eukaryota; Metazoa; Chordata; Actinopteri; Perciformes; Percidae
Exons: 5
Source: RefSeq, a predicted model, not a curated record
AGGGAGUGACAAAACCCUUCCAGCAGGUGAUUGAUGUCAGUUCAGGGGAUCCUUUUGUCAUUUGUUCGCCAGGUCUUGGCAGCGUGUCUUUACCUUGAGUUCCUCACAGAAAAAUGCCUCCCUCUGGAUGCCAGGCAGAGGGCACCGAAGCUUCUGGGGGCCUGCAGUGGAGGGAGCGUGGGCUCAUACUCUUUAACCUCCUGUGGCAUACCAUGCAUCCAGAAAAGUGUUGCCGAGUUCAUCAAGAGGUGAGAUGGUGGAGUGGGUUCGAACCCAGAAGACCUCAUCUUCUCCAGUGGUUCUCAGAAGACUGUAAUGGUUGACAGUGCCAAGUCCGUUGGAACAGGAACUGACACAGCUGUGUGUUUUGGCUCCUCCUGCCACCCUGGAGGAGAUCUUGGCAUGACUUUGCUCUUUCCACCUGCGCCUGCUGGACACAUUUCCCUGACAGAAGUGUCAAGGAC